RNAcentral lists this ribosomal RNA (485 nucleotides) under uncultured bacterium. RNAcentral describes it as "partial 16S ribosomal RNA". It matches the Rfam family "Bacterial small subunit ribosomal RNA", at positions 29 to 523 of the family's 1533-position model. The record is from RNAcentral.
AGUGAACGCUGGCGGCGUGCUUAACACAUGCAAGUCGAACGAGAACGGAAUAUAGCUUGCUAUAUUUGUCAGCUAAGUGGCGCACGGGUGAGUAAUGUAUAGAUAACCUGCCCUUAAGAAAGGAAUAACAGUUGGAAACGACUGCUAAUGCCCUAUAUGCCUUUAAUACAUAAGUAUGCAAGGGAAACGCUUUAGUGCUUAAGGAUGGGUCUGUAUGGUAUCAGCUUGUUGGUGAGGUAAUGGCUCACCAAGGCUAUGACGCCUAACUGGUUUGAGAGGAUGAUCAGUCACACUGGAACUGAGACACGGUCCAGACUCCUACGGGAGGCAGCAGUGGGGAAUAUUGCACAAUGGACGAAAGUCUGAUGCAGCAACGCCGCGUGGAGGAUGACACAUUUCGGUGCGUAAACUCCUUUUAUAUGAGAAGAUAAUGACGGUAUUAUAUGAAUAAGCACCGGCUAACUCCGUGCCAGCCGCCGCCGUAA